AAGCCAGAAGUCCUCUCCUUUCAACUAUCUCUGCUGUAUCUUUCUGUUAUUAUCACUGAUAGAGAUUGGGAUUUAUCACAUCAGGAACUGCUUAUUUUAUGAUGCGGUUAUUGUGUCUACAAAACGCAAAACAGGAAAUAGUGCAAGGAGUAUUGGUUAUAUUCGUUAUGAAUUGUAUGCUUAAUUACCAUGCCUUCUGUUUUCUGACUGUGUGUCUUGGGAUAAGGUGAUUUUUUAGAAUGUUCAAGCCACAUCGCAUAUGUGUGGUGAGUGCCUGUUGGGGCACCAUAUCCGGUACAAGGACCCAAGGAUUAACCAGGUGGGAAAAGUAGGGGGUGGGCAGUGUUCUACUCAUGCCCAUGACUUUCCAAACAAACUAAUGAAAAGAACAGCAUCUACAAGGAGUUUCAGGAAGAGAAGAUGGUGUAAAUUAAGAGUUGGGGGAGGUAGGAAAGGAGUAACAACAAAAUUUCUCAACAAAAAUAAGAAUAAAGAUAGUGUCUUUACACAGAUACACUUUACAUAGCUUCUGGUAAAGCCCUCAACAGCAUUGUUGCUUUCUCUAAAUUUUUCAGUGUUCUCCCUCUGCUCGGAAUUCCUGAAAUUUAGAUGGCUCUAGCCAAAUUGUUCAGGACUCAGUUUCAAGCCAGCUUCCCUCAAACUGGUUGACUUUUAGAAUGUUAAUGAGAUUGAAAAACUACCUAUGUAUGGGUAUGUUACAAAUUUAUAUACCCUGCUUUAUAGAAGGACAUGUAAGAUAGAGUCAAACUAUUGCAGGACUUCUCAGAAACUUUGAUGUGUUGCUACGUCCUGUGAAUUUUCUACCCAGUAUCUCCUUCAGCCUUGUGUCAAGGGACCAACAGAGCCAACCUUUCAUCAAGGACAGGCAGAGAGGGGCAGCGUCCUGUGGAUUUUCAAGAGGAGACUAUUGCUUCAAGUGUUUCACUGAACACUGGAAUUGGAGAGGGCAGGGGUAGCCUACCUAUUCAGUUUUCUUAGAACAUCACUCCUUAAAAAACUAGUUCGGGAGAUGUUAGUUAGUAAGCCACUUUUAAUUUUAUGUAUUGUAUGACCGGCGCCGCGGCUCACUAGGCUAAUCCUCCGCCUUGCGGCGCCAGCACACCGGGUUCUAGUCCCGGUCAGGGCGCCGGGUUCUGUCCCGGUUGCCCCUCUUCCAGGCCAGCUCUCUGCUGUGGCCAGGGAGUGCAGUGGAGGAUGGCCCAAGUGCUUGGGCCCUGCACCCCAUGGGAGACCAGGAUAAGUACCUGGCUCCUGCCAUCGGAUUAGCCUGGUACGCCAGCCGCAGCGCGCCAGCCGCGGCGGCCAUUGGAGGGUGAACCAAUGGCAAAGGAAGACCUUUCUCUCUGUCUCUCUCUCUCUCACUGUCCACUCUGUCAAAAAAAAAAAAUUAUGUAUUGUGAGUACUUAGUCACAUCUUCUGAAAAGUUGGAGAAAAUGAUCAAUUACACAAGCCCUUAAUAAUCUCUAUGUGUGGGCUUUCUAGGAAAGAAGCUUUCUAGAAAUGGUCUCCAAUAAUCACAGAAUGGAGGAAUUUAUAGAGAUCUUGGAGAUUUAUUGUCCUACUGUGUAACACAAGAUGGAUCAUGAAUCCUAGAAACAACUUGAUCAAGAUUAUUCAGGUUGCUGGUGACUGGACCAGCAAUACUGGUCCAGCUAACACUCCAGCUCACACUCCAGCUCACCACCCUGUGUCUAAUUCAUCUCCCUGUCCCUUCACAGGAAGACUCUCACGGCUCUGAAAAAAAAAAAAAGUCGUUGUCUUUCCGAGGUCCUUUAAAACCUCCAGAAAGAAGAAACAUUCCACAGGUACGUGACAUCACGGCAUUCAAGACUCAUCCCAGGACUCGCCAACACAUUGAAGGUACCUGACAUUCUUGGGAAUGAUGUACUUGCCAUUCUUCUGUCAGGUAUGCUUGUUCCCUGUUAUUAACAUAACCUCUCUCCCUCACUAUAUCACAUGUCUGUUCAGUGACAGAACCUUCAGAGUCCUUUUUUUCAAUGCUAUUGAAAACAGCAUCUUCAAAACUUGUAAUUUCACCAUCACAGUAGUCAUCAUCACAUGAUUCAAUUGUAUGUCUUUAUUAUUCUACCAAAAAAUAUA
This is a non-coding RNA of Oryctolagus cuniculus (rabbit), 2122 nucleotides long. The record is from RefSeq and is a predicted model, not a curated record. Lineage: Eukaryota; Metazoa; Chordata; Mammalia; Lagomorpha; Leporidae.